Non-coding RNA from Mycena alexandri, 104 nucleotides. The record is from the annotation of a GenBank genome assembly. Lineage: Eukaryota; Fungi; Basidiomycota; Agaricomycetes; Agaricales; Mycenaceae.
GGCACGAUGGCCGAGUGGUUAAGGCGACAGAUUCGAAUGGUGGAUAAUCGAUUUGUGCGAUCUGUUCCGGUUUCCGGGCGCAGGUUCAAAUCCUGCUCGUGUCG